Long non-coding RNA from Solanum tuberosum (potato), 1253 nucleotides. RefSeq lists it as uncharacterized. The record is from RefSeq and is a predicted model, not a curated record. Lineage: Eukaryota; Viridiplantae; Streptophyta; Magnoliopsida; Solanales; Solanaceae. The transcript is spliced from 4 exons.
AUUAGAUGGUAGACAAGUUUUAGAGACUGAAGCAGAGUUAAAAUAAAAUGGAAAGAAGAAAAUCAAUUAAUGAACAAUAAUCAAACAUAGGCCAUUGAGUUAAAAGAAGAUGGAAAAUAAACUCCCUAGUGGAUAUAUUUCUUAAUUUGUUCAGUUAACUCUAGUUUUCUUGUACAGUGAGCAUAUUAGUGAAAUCAAACGAUUGCAUCGCAAACGCCGCCUUACCCAACAUCAGCUUAAUCGCUUGCAUUUUGAAAAUUCUCAUGAAUGGUUCAAGGAGCAAGUCAAAGAGUUGGAUCUCAUAUCUAAUAUCUCAAAUGAUGUUAAAGCCCUUGCACAAGGUCCAUGUUACUUCGCAAGAAGAUUCAAGGCAUUCCAUAUGAAUAAUGGGUAUCGAUUUCGUACAAAACAGUAUGAAGAGUUCAUGCAGACACAAAAUAGUGGGGUUCUGGUUGUCUCAAUGACAGAGAGCUAUGCAAGUACUAGUGACAGUGCUCCAAAAUCAGGAAAUAUUACAUAUUAUGGCAGACUGAAUGAUAUUGUUGAGUUGAACUACUAUGAAAAAUUUAAAGUCGUCUUGUUUAAAUGUGAUUGGGUUGAUGUAACUCAAGGUCGAGGAGUUAUGAAAGACGACUUAGGUUUCACACUUGUGAACUUCUCACAUCUAAUACAUUCAGGUGACCGGAUAAGUGAUGAGCCAUUUGUUUUUGCUGGACAAGCUCAGCAAGUGAUAUUUGUUCAAGAUCCUGAAGAUCAUGAAUGGUUUGUCCCUAGGUCAAUUAAACCGUGAAACAUUUUUGAUAAGGGAGAAGAAAAUAGUAAAAAAUUUGACUCAUCAAUGCAGUGUGAUACAACUGAUUUAACUAUCUUAGAAAAUAUUCGUGAUUUAGAAGAUGACAACAAUGGUUGGGUAAGGGGUGGAGUUGAUGGUAUAGAAAUCGUUACGGACUAAAAUUUCAAAUUCCUCCAAUUGAAGGCCAUGUUUUUGGGAGGUAGAACAUUGAGAUUAUGUCAGUGGCAUACUCAUUCAAAUGGUGAGCUUGUUCAAGGAAUGACACACUGAUCCAGAAAGCUGUCACAUUUUGCAUUAGGGAACAAACACUGGCUUAAUUGCCUUAUUUUCUCCAUUGUUGAACGCAUUUUUUCUAUUUUGAUAAUUCAUAGUUUCUUUUACCACUACAAGAUAAGAAAUUGAAUGUAUUAAGAUUGUUUGUUCUUAUUUUAAGUGAAUGACAUUGUUUUCAGUUUGGUAA